Molecule: ribosomal RNA, 440 nt
Filed under: uncultured bacterium
Lineage: Bacteria
Description: partial 16S ribosomal RNA
Rfam family: Bacterial small subunit ribosomal RNA
Source: RNAcentral
CCUACGGGAGGCAGCAGUAGGGAAUAUUGCUCAAUGGGGGAAACCCUGAAGCAGCAACGCCGCGUGGAGGAUGAAGGUUUUAUGAUUGUAAACUCCUUUUGUUAGAGAAGAUUAUGACGGUAUCUAACGAAUAAGCACCGGCUUACUCCGUGCCAGCCGCCGCGGUACUACGGAGGGUGCAAGCGUUACUCGGAAUCACUGGGCGUAAAGAGUGCGUAGGCGGGGUAAUAAGUCAGAUGUGAAAUUCUGUAGCUUAACUACAGAACUGCAUUUGAAACUGUUGCUCUGGAGUGUGGGAGAGGUAGGUGGAAUUCUUGGUGUAGGGGUAAAAUCCGUAGAGAUCAAGAGGAAUACUCAUUGCGAAGGCGACCUGCUGGAACAUUACUGACGCUGAUGCACGAAAGCGUGGGUAGCAAACAGGAUUAGAUACCCUUGUAGUC